This 253-nucleotide ribosomal RNA is filed under the name uncultured bacterium. Its description in RNAcentral is "partial 16S ribosomal RNA". It matches the Rfam family "Bacterial small subunit ribosomal RNA", at positions 524 to 776 of the family's 1533-position model. The record is from RNAcentral.
UACAGAGGGGGCAAGCGUUGUUCGGAAUUACUGGGCGUGAAGGGCGCGUAGGCGGCCUUCUAAGUCGAACGUGAAAUCCCCGGGCUCAACCCGGGAACUGCGUCCGAUACUGGAAGGCUUGAAUCCGGGAGAGGGAUGCGGAAUUCCAGGUGUAGCGGUGAAAUGCGUAGAUAUCUGGAGGAACACCGGUGGCGAAGGCGGCAUCCUGGACCGGCAUUGACGCUGAGGCGCGAAAGCCAGGGGAGCAAACGGG